UUUACGCUUAAGGUUGAGGUAGCGCAGGUAACAAUCUCCAAGUUUGUCACAGAACGAUGUUAUGCGCAUAUAUCUACCCUUCUUUUUUGUAAUGCGGGGAGGGAGAAAUACAAUUCAAUUCACCAAGCGUGCUUGCAACGUGUUCAUUUUUAAAGCACCGGCUGUUAGUGGUAGACAGUAAACACCAGUUUGGUCGGAGUUAUACUACGCGUAGAAAAUAAGAAUUUUGAUUUGCAAACAGAAUGAGUGGUUCCUGUCAAGUUGAAGUCCGUUUUGAAUAUUAAUUGUGUAACAUCUAAACUAGACACGUAGGACUGCUUCAUUCCGGUGCAUCUGAACGUUGAGACAUAAAUCAAA
Leptinotarsa decemlineata (Colorado potato beetle) is the source of this 357-nucleotide long non-coding RNA. The record is from RefSeq and is a predicted model, not a curated record. Lineage: Eukaryota; Metazoa; Arthropoda; Insecta; Coleoptera; Chrysomelidae.